This 495-nucleotide ribosomal RNA is filed under the name uncultured bacterium. Its description in RNAcentral is "partial 16S ribosomal RNA". It matches the Rfam family "Bacterial small subunit ribosomal RNA", at positions 30 to 507 of the family's 1533-position model. The record is from RNAcentral.
UGAACGCUGGCGGCGUGCCUAAUACAUGCAAGUCGCGCGAACAGACGAGGAGCUUGCUCCUCUGACGUUAGCGGCGGACGGGUGAGUAACACGUGGAUAACCUACCUAUAAGACUGGGAUAACUUCGGGAAACCGGAGCUAAUACCGGAUAAUAUAUUGAACCGCAUGGUUCAAUAGUGAAAGACGGUUUUGCUGUCACUUAUAGAUGGAUCCGCGCCGCAUUAGCUAGUUGGUAAGGUAACGGCUUACCAAGGCAACGAUGCGUAGCCGACCUGAGAGGGUGAUCGGCCACACUGGAACUGAGACACGGUCCAGACUCCUACGGGAGGCAGCAGUAGGGAAUCUUCCGCAAUGGGCGAAAGCCUGACGGAGCAACGCCGCGUGAGUGAUGAAGGUCUUCGGAUCGUAAAACUCUGCUAUUAGGGAAGAACAAAUGUGUAAGUAACUAUGCACGUCUUGACGGUACCUAAUCAGAAAGCCACGGCUAACUACGUG